Molecule: ribosomal RNA, 253 nt
Filed under: uncultured bacterium
Lineage: Bacteria
Description: partial 16S ribosomal RNA
Rfam family: Bacterial small subunit ribosomal RNA
Source: RNAcentral
UACGUAGGGGGCGAGCGUUGUCCGGAUUUAUUGGGCGUAAAGAGCUCGUAGGCGGUUUGUCGCGUCUGCUGUGAAAACCCGAGGCUCAACCUCGGGCCUGCAAUGGGUACGGGCAGACUAGAGUGCGGUAGGGGAGAUUGGAAUUCCUGGUGUAGCGGUGGAAUGCGCAGAUAUCAGGAGGAACACCAAUGGCGAAGGCAGAUCUCUGGGCCGUAACUGACGCUGAGGAGCGAAAGCAUGGGGAGCGAACAGG